RNAcentral lists this unclassified non-coding RNA (901 nucleotides) under Hevea brasiliensis (rubber tree). The record is from RNAcentral. Lineage: Eukaryota; Viridiplantae; Streptophyta; Magnoliopsida; Malpighiales; Euphorbiaceae.
GAAAACAAACAAAGGCGUGUUGUGUUACAGGAGCUCAAAGUCGGCUAUGUUAGAACCCAUUUCUAGUUCAACCUAUACAGAUAUGUUGACUUCCAUAAAUCAUGAGACGAGUCACCAAAUCCACUUUGACAGAGCUCAAGAAGAAUUGCCUUUGGAAAACAAAAUUCAUCGGAUUAUAGCUUUUCUAAGAGAUAGAAAUGCGAUCUUCGUGUUGAUUUCUCUUACUCUUGUAACAAUUGCUUGCUGCAAACACGCAUUGAAAGUGGAUUUUUACCAUUCUUAUAUAUGAAAAGGCAUAUGCACACCCUUUCAAUUUUAUUACAAUGACACGUUGGUUUAGCUACAAUUACUUAUGCUUUGCAUAUGACAAGCUUGGAGAGUCUGUCAGCUUCAAAUGUGACGUCUGCAACCUUCAUUUCCAUAUUUGAUAUGGAAUCUUUGAGGUUCUCUGACUACAUGAAAGUUUCAGUACUAUCAAUCCUAUGCCAAUUCAAGAUAAAUUCACUGCUAAUAUCAACCGUGUGAAACUUAAAAUUUGAACAGCAUCCAAAACUUGAACAUUCUAAUAGCAAUAUAUUCUUUGCCAGUUGAACAUAAAUUCUACCAAUUAUUUCAACUCUGCAACACUUCAAAUUAAAUUAAGGGUUGAGAUUUCUAAGUUAAGUCAUCAAAGUAUCAUCUAUAUAUGGAUUUACUAAUUGAUCUUCAUCCCUCUGUUCCUUUUUUAUGUCAGAAAUUAAUUUGGCACGCGAUGAAGGAGCGUUCGUUAGAGGUGUUUGAGAGCUGGCCCAGGACUUGAAGCGGUGGAAAUACAGCGAAGUUUAGGAAGUUGGUCAUGGCACACUAGGAGAAGCCAAGUAUAAUUAUUAUUAUGAAUAAAGAUCAUAAUCUCCAGUAGUGC